Long non-coding RNA from Chelonus insularis, 1072 nucleotides. RefSeq lists it as uncharacterized. The record is from RefSeq and is a predicted model, not a curated record. The transcript is spliced from 3 exons. Lineage: Eukaryota; Metazoa; Arthropoda; Insecta; Hymenoptera; Braconidae.
UUACUGUAAAGGAACCCAUUUUCUAAAUCUGCCGCGCGUGACUUAAUCUUUGUUCAUCAUUUAAAAUUUUUUUUUUAAAAAAAUUAGUGAUUUUUCUUUAUUAAAGUUAACAAAUCUAGUUUCUUUUUAGAAUUGAACAAUUUUGUCUGGAGGAGAAAUCGUGUUUUACCCUACAUUCAUGAAACUAAAUUGUAGUUUAAUUAAAAGAAUGUGAAAUUGUUGAACAAUGUGUGGUGAAUCUGAAUAAAAAUUCUACUGAGUUUUCAUGAAAAAUAUAUACUUCAGAGUUUGUUACUCAGACGUUUCAACCCAUUUGCUUGAAAUUUCUUUCAUCAUACUUCACCACUUUGAAAAAUUAAAAAAAAAAGAUACUUUCAAUACUCUAAAUGAUGCGAAAAAUCUUUAUAAUUACGAGAAUACAACUAUCUUUUGAAAUGUCUCCUCGAAAAAUAUAACAAAUGGUUCAGUCUAUGAAUACAAAAUAAAAUGGAUAAGUAUUUAUAUUUUACGUAAACAACAUAAAGUAAUACCGUUAAUACAGAGAGAAUUACAGCAUGAAGGGUGAACAGAAGGUAAUUACGGUCUGUAAUGUUCAUCUGAAGAACAGCUUAAAAAAUUUCCUUGAUAAAUUACACAACUUCAAAAAUUUAAAAUAAAUUUAUGUUAAACUGACCGACACUGAACGUGCUUCACACUUCAUGAGAGUUAACAUCCGGAGGGUGCAGCAUGUAUGAUAUACAGGUGCUUACAUGUAUGCAGAUGCCAACAAAUACGUAGAUUCUGGAAUGAUCGUUAUUAAUUAGAGGAAGUUAAAAAAAUUACAUUGCUUCUGUCGGCACGUGACUCAUUGAUCUAACAAUGAUGCAGCUUCAUGGUAUUGAUAUAUUUUAAUCCUUUGCUGAAUAAGUAUCCAUAAAGAAAUUUCACAUUGGAUUUGGAUUAUGAUUGGAAAUGUAUAUAAUCAAUUAGGUAUCAUUUAAGUAUAUGAGUUAACUAUCUGUAUUCAUCUUAUUGACUAUUCUUUAUAAUGGAUAUAUGAUCAUCGAUCUGAUGAUAACAAAUUAUUACUAUU